Molecule: ribosomal RNA, 253 nt
Filed under: uncultured bacterium
Lineage: Bacteria
Description: partial 16S ribosomal RNA
Rfam family: Bacterial small subunit ribosomal RNA
Source: RNAcentral
UACGUAGGGUGCGAGCGUUGUCCGGAAUUAUUGGGCGUAAAGAGCUCGUAGGCGGUCUGUCGCGUCGAAUGUGAAAACCCGGGGCUCAACUCCGGGCUUGCAUUCGAUACGGGCAGGCUAGAGUUCGGUAGGGGAGUCUGGAAUUCCUGGUGUAGCGGUGAAAUGCGCAGAUAUCAGGAGGAACACCGGUGGCGAAGGCGGGUCUCUGGGCCGAUAUUGACGCUGAGGAGCGAAAGCGUGGGGAGCGAACAGG